RNAcentral lists this ribosomal RNA (500 nucleotides) under uncultured bacterium. RNAcentral's name for it is "bacterial SSU rRNA". It matches the Rfam family "Bacterial small subunit ribosomal RNA", at positions 791 to 1297 of the family's 1533-position model. The record is from RNAcentral.
UAGUCCACGCCGUAAACGAUGGAUGCUAGCUGUUCGAGAGCAAUCUUGAGUGGCUAAGCGAAAGUGAUAAGUAUCCCACCUGGGGAGUACGUUCGCAAGAAUGAAACUCAAAGGAAUUGACGGGGGCCCGCACAAGCGGUGGAGCAUGUGGUUUAAUUCGAUGAUACGCGAGGAACCUUACCAGGGCUUAAAUGUAGUCUGACAGGAGUGGAAACACUUUUUUCUUCGGACAGAUUACAAGGUGCUGCAUGGUUGUCGUCAGCUCGUGCCGCGAGGUGUCAGGUUAAGUCCUAUAACGAGCGCAACCCCUGUUGUUAGUUGCCAUCGAGUAAUGUCGGGAACUCUAACAAGACUGCCAGUGCAAACUGUGAGGAAGGCGGGGAUGACGUCAAAUCAUCACGGCCCUUACGUCCUGGGCCACACACGUGCUACAAUGGUAGGGACAGAGAGCAGCCACUACGCGAGUAGGAGCGAAUCUAUAAACCCUAUCUCAGUUCGGA